RNAcentral lists this ribosomal RNA (180 nucleotides) under uncultured Glomeromycotina. RNAcentral describes it as "partial small subunit ribosomal RNA". The record is from RNAcentral. Lineage: Eukaryota; Fungi; Glomeromycota.
GAUCCGGCUGUCGUCGGUCGGCCGCAAGGUCUGUACUCUUCUGGCCGGAUCUCUCCUUCUGGAGGACCAACAUGCCAUUAACUUGGUGUGCUGGCGAUCCAGGACUUUUACCUUGAAAAAAUUAGAGUGUUUAAAGCAGGCUCGCGCUUGAAUACAUUAGCAUGGAAUAAUGAAAUAGGA